GAUGAUUGUGUGUCUGGUCCAUGUUAACUUUAUUUGGCAUUCGACAUUCAUGACUAGAUCCACACUCAUCCA
RNAcentral lists this microRNA precursor (72 nucleotides) under Daphnia magna. Lineage: Eukaryota; Metazoa; Arthropoda; Branchiopoda; Diplostraca; Daphniidae. The record is from RNAcentral.